Gossypium arboreum is the source of this 379-nucleotide long non-coding RNA. RefSeq lists it as uncharacterized. NCBI's taxonomy places the organism in Eukaryota, Viridiplantae, Streptophyta, Magnoliopsida, Malvales, Malvaceae. The record is from RefSeq and is a predicted model, not a curated record. The transcript is spliced from 2 exons.
CUUUAUGUCUGAAUGUAGCUGCGUGCUUCCUCAAAAUGGGAGAAUGCAGAAAGUCCAUUGACGCAUGUAAUAAGGUGCAUACUUUGACUUUCUGUUCCGGUGUUUUGGAUUCUUUGGCGGUUGAAUUGAAAGCAUCAUAGGACUUCUCUAAGUUAUAUGCAGGCAUUGCAAUGUUUUGGCUUCAUCUAAGCUUGAACCAACCCUCUGUUGUAUAUUGUUUCUUCUUCUUUUCUGAUCUUUUUCCUUUGAUUAAUGAGAGGUGAUGAUGAUUUGGUAUUCUUUUCUCACCAGAAUGAAUUUUGUUUUAGAAAUAGUAAUACUUUGUGUUUUUUUAUGUAUUAAUUACAUAUUGAAUCGAUGUUUAUGUAUUAAAUUUAAA